Long non-coding RNA from Acanthochromis polyacanthus (spiny chromis), 397 nucleotides. RefSeq lists it as uncharacterized. The transcript is spliced from 2 exons. The record is from RefSeq and is a predicted model, not a curated record. NCBI's taxonomy places the organism in Eukaryota, Metazoa, Chordata, Actinopteri, Pomacentridae.
CCUGCUUGCUUUCACCUGUGCCUCGUCUCCAGUCGUUCAGCUUGGAUUACCACCUGUACACCCACAGAAAAAGAGCCGUAUAAAACCUCAGAUGUUCUUACCGUGCGGUGCGACUGCAGGAGGGAGCUGGGAGUCCGGAGAGCGGCGGCUGACGACGCUUCUGCAGCUUUUAUCCGGCAGCAGUCUGUGGGCGUUCGGUGUGGGGAGCUGCAGAUCUGAGGUCAGCCAGCCUGCCGGUCAAACUGCCCACCAAUCGGGUCGGUCCACCUCCCCUCACUCCACUGCAGCGACUUACUGACGGUGCACGGACCGGGUUUAACUGUUCUGGUCAGCAGUUCACCAGAGGCUCUUCACCUGAGAUAAGAUGUUUUACUGAAUUAAAGGAUCUACAUCCAGA